CUGGUUUCUUUUGUGUGUCAGUCUUGAAAAUAAAACACUUUUCGUUUCAUCCUUUACUCCAGUCAUUCUACUCCAGGUUUGCACAACAAGUGGAAUGACAGUGGGGCAUACCUAAAAAAAUAGUUUCUGUUCUAGCAUUAAAAAUGUUACUCUUUAGCUCACGAUCUUAGGAAGGCACAUUAUUCUAAAAGAACAAACUCAUUUAAGAUGCUGACACUACAGUACACUAAAGAUAGAUAAUAAAACAAAGUUAAAUCAAUAAUAGCUGAUAUUCAGUAGAAAUGUGUCUAAAUUAAGC
Non-coding RNA from Pelobates cultripes (western spadefoot toad), 298 nucleotides. The record is from the annotation of a GenBank genome assembly. NCBI's taxonomy places the organism in Eukaryota, Metazoa, Chordata, Amphibia, Anura, Pelobatidae.